UUUUUAUACUAUCUUUCAUCCUCUCUCAUGUUCCCACACACCUACACCACUACCACCGCAUCACAUUCACAUUUAACAACAAACCCAUUAUUCUCUUCAUCUUCUUCAAAAUUCCAUUAUGCUUUCAAACAGCAUAAACACAACAACCAUAGAAAGAUAUACUAAAUUGAGUGAAAUCCUUAAAAUCAAAUUCCAGAAAAAUCUGAUACACAAAUGAAUAAUCAAAACAAGCAUGUAGAUGACAAAAUUGGAAUCUGAAAUUUCAUUAUGCUUUCCCUUCUUAGUCCACCGUUUUUUCACCCUUACUUCCACGCCUAAUCAUAUCGGAAAUGCUUCCAGAAUUGCGGUCUAAGUUUAAUACUGAUGUGUUUUAAAGCACCAACAAGGUUUUGUUUUUAUUUUUCAUGUUCUUGGUGUGAUGGAUUUUGAAGAUCCAUGGCAGAUUGGGUGAUGGAUUUGUGUUCCUCAUUUUAAGAAAUUCGCAAAACUGAAUGAUAUUGGGACAAGGACAAUUCAACUUGUUAUUUUCUAAAACAACACCCAUAUAAAACUUAGAGAAAUUGAGUUUUCCGGCAGCCAUGGUGGUGUGUGGUGGUCAGAAGGGUUGCUAAAUUUGUGCUUUAGUGGUGGUGGUGUGGGACAUGAAAGAGAGAUGAUGAAAGAUAAUAUAAAAAAUAAUUUAGUGUGGAGAGAGUAUGAUAAGAAUAUGUUCCUCAUUUAAUCUAA
This 726-nucleotide long non-coding RNA is filed under the name Medicago truncatula (barrel medic). Its description in RNAcentral is "long non-coding RNA (MTRU_LNC008037)". The record is from RNAcentral. Lineage: Eukaryota; Viridiplantae; Streptophyta; Magnoliopsida; Fabales; Fabaceae.